Molecule: ribosomal RNA, 492 nt
Filed under: uncultured bacterium
Lineage: Bacteria
Description: partial 16S ribosomal RNA
Rfam family: Bacterial small subunit ribosomal RNA
Source: RNAcentral
AGUGAACGCUGGCGGUAGGCCUAACACAUGCAAGUCGAACGGCAGCACAGUAAGAGCUUGCUCUUACGGGUGGCGAGUGGCGGACGGGUGAGGAAUACAUCGGAAUCUACUUUUUCGUGGGGGGUAACGUAGGGAAACUUACGCUAAUACCGCGUACGACCUACGGGUGAAAGCAGGGGAUCUUCGGACCUUGCGCGAUUGAAUGAGCCGAUGUCGGAUUAGCUAGUUGGCGGGGUAAAGGCCCACCAAGGCGACGAUCCGUAGCUGGUCUGAGAGGAUGAUCAGCCACACUGGAACUGAGACACGGUCCAGACUCCUACGGGAGGCAGCAGUGGGGAAUAUUGGACAAUGGGCGCAAGCCUGAUCCAGCCAUACCGCGUGGGUGAAGAAGGCCUUCGGGUUGUAAAGCCCUUUUGUUGGGAAAGAAAAGCAGCAGGUUAAUACCCCGCUGUUCUGACGGUACCCAAAGAAUAAGCACCGGCUAACUUCGUG